UACAGAGGGGGCAAGCGUUGUUCGGAAUUACUGGGCGUAAAGGGCGCGUAGGCGGCCGCCUAAGUCAGACGUGAAAUCCCUCGGCUCAACCGGGGAACUGCGUCUGAUACUGGGUGGCUUGAAUCCGGGAGAGGGAUGCGGAAUUCCAGGUGUAGCGGUGAAAUGCGUAGAUAUCUGGAGGAACACCGGUGGCGAAGGCGGCAUCCUGGACCGAUAUUGACGCUGAGGCGCGAAAGCCAGGGGAGCAAACGGG
This 253-nucleotide ribosomal RNA is filed under the name uncultured bacterium. RNAcentral describes it as "partial 16S ribosomal RNA". It matches the Rfam family "Bacterial small subunit ribosomal RNA", at positions 524 to 776 of the family's 1533-position model. The record is from RNAcentral.